Molecule: ribosomal RNA, 944 nt
Filed under: Haliclona sp. 3 JV-2020
Lineage: Eukaryota; Metazoa; Porifera; Demospongiae; Haplosclerida; Chalinidae
Description: partial large subunit ribosomal RNA
Source: RNAcentral
ACCGUUGGGAGGGAAGCUCAGGGUGCCGAGGCGGUAGAGGUCGUUGGAAUUCAGUUCGGUCGCGAAAGCGACGGAGUGCAUUUUCUUUCGGUCUUGGUAACCGUCAGCGAGAGUUUAGCCGGUCGGUUUUCUGCGGAGAGGGAGGUGGCGGCUUUCGGGACCUUCGGGCGRCGGAAACCGUUCGUAUAGCCUCGCCGCAGGAGCGAUUUGGCGAAUCUUUGGUGCGAAUUUCGAGCGUCGUUCGCUCGACUGGUAAGGUGCGGUCCUCUCGAGAGGAGCGGGAUUCGUUCUUCGGUSGUUGCCGAGCGAAAUUUCGUGUUCAGCGUUGGAGUUCGCUUCAUCGUUGUGCAGUUUUGGAGCUUUGGCGACUUUCGACGGUUCGUUUGCCACGUUACCGCGCCCAGGUCGUUGGCGUCGAGUCGGUCCCCUGUGCCCCGUCUUGAAACACGGACCAAGGAGUGCAAGAGGCACGCGAGUCCUGCGGGUUGGUCGUUCGACUAGUUUCGAGCGCACUCGAAAACCCAGAGGUAGGCGAAGCGAGAGCAAGUUCCGGUAGCGUCCGGUGGGUGCGAGAGCUGGUUUCCCUCGGGAAGCGAGCGCAUCGCGGACCGAGCCGUUGGUCACUCCGUGGCCGGCUUCGAGUGAGAGCGCGUCUGUUGCGACCCGAAAGAUGGUGAACUAUGCCCGAGGAGGGUGAAGCCAGGGGAAACUCUGGUGGAGGCCCGCAGCGGUUCUGACGUGCAAAUCGAUCGUGGCACUUGGGUAUAGGGGCGAAAGACUAAUCGAACCGUCUAGUAGCUGGUUCCCUCCGAAGUUUCCCUCAGGAUAGCUGGAGCCAAGUUUUGUACAGUUUCGUCGGGUAAAGCGAAUGAUUAGAGGUAUCGGGGUCGAAAGGACCUCGACCUAUUCUCAAACUUUGAAUCGGCGAGGCGGUCCGUCCCUUG